Molecule: ribosomal RNA, 727 nt
Filed under: Macrobrachium australiense
Lineage: Eukaryota; Metazoa; Arthropoda; Malacostraca; Decapoda; Palaemonidae
Description: eukaryotic LSU rRNA
Rfam family: Eukaryotic large subunit ribosomal RNA
Source: RNAcentral
CCAACCGGGAUUCCCUGAGUAAGGGCGACUGAAAGGGGAUGAGCCCAGCGCAUAACCUCACAGUCUUUUUGUGGCUGUUGAGGGGUGUUGCGUUUCGGUGGAUCCGUACCGCUCGAUUUGCUGACCGCCUAAGUCAUUGCUUGAAUGCAGCCCCAAGGAGGGUGGUAGGCCCGUGUGGCGGCGCCUGUAAAAAGGUUUUAGGCAAGUUGGGCGGAGGGGUCUUUACCGUAGAGUCGGGUUGCUUAGUACUGCAGCCCUAAGUAGGUGGUAAACUCCAUCUAAGGCUAAAUACUACCACGAGUCCGAUAUUUGACAAGUACCGUGAGGGAAAGCUGAAAAGGACUCUGAAGAGAGAGUUCAAGAGGACGUGAAACCAUUAGAAGCUGAAACGGGUGGAACCGUGAAGGUGGAAAGAGGGGAUUCAGGCUGUGGGCGUAGGCACGAGCAUUAGGUGCAGUCUGUGAGAGGACCCGGCGUACGAGUGAGUUGCCGUGGCCCCUUUUGCUGUGUGUUUGCGCCGGCGGGCUUAUUUCUCCCUCGAGUACUAGUCGUGGCGACCCGCUAACCGGACCCCGAGGUCUGCUUAGGAUUGGUAGCCGUGACUUUCGGGUGGCGGUGAUGGACCUUUGCAGUACUGACUGGGUUUUGGGAUGGCGGUCACUGUAAGGAGGCGGGCGGCGGCAGUUUCUGCUGCUGCUGCUGCUUCUCGCCAUGUGAAAGGNAUCGU